UGUUCCCUGCGGUGUUCGUCAAGGCCAUAUAUUCCUUGAACCAAUACCAAAGGCGUCGGUUGCUGACCUGAAAAUCCGCUGUUGUGCCCGCCCCUUGCCGGGUGGACCUGAUGUGGAAGGAAAGCGGCCUCAUCUGAAUCACGGUUCAGGAUGCCGGUCUAACGGCACAGGCGGGGACUUU
This 181-nucleotide non-coding RNA is filed under the name Accumulibacter sp. RNAcentral describes it as "6S RNA". It matches the Rfam family "6S / SsrS RNA". Rfam says of the family: E. coli 6S RNA was the first non coding RNA to be sequenced, but its function was unknown until recently. It consists of 184 nucleotides that fold into an extended hairpin structure with a large single-stranded internal bulge. The record is from RNAcentral. Lineage: Bacteria; Pseudomonadati; Pseudomonadota; Betaproteobacteria.